GACGAACGCUGGCGGCGUGCUUAACACAUGCAAGUCGAACGGAAAGGCCCCAGCUUGCUGGGGUACUCGAGUGGCGAACGGGUGAGUAACACGUGGGUGAUCUGCCCUGCACUCUGGGAUAAGCUUGGGAAACUGGGGCUAAUACCGGAUAUGAACUGCUGUUACUGUGGUGGGUGGAGAGUUUUUUCGGUGUAGGAUGAGGUCGCGGCCUUUCGGCUUGUUGGGGGGGUAAUGGCCUACCAAGGCGUUGACGGGGGGCCGGGCUGUGAGGGGGUACGGCCACAUUGGGGCUGAGAGACGGCCCAGACACCUACGGGGGGCAGAAGAGGGGAAUAUUGCACAAUGGGCGGAGGCCUGAUGCGGAGAAGCCGCGUGGGGGAUGACGGCCCUCGGGUUGUAAAAUCCGUUCGACAGGGACGAAGCUUGUUGUGACGGUACCUGUAGAAGAAGCACCGGCUAACUACGUG
Molecule: ribosomal RNA, 467 nt
Filed under: uncultured bacterium
Lineage: Bacteria
Description: partial 16S ribosomal RNA
Rfam family: Bacterial small subunit ribosomal RNA
Source: RNAcentral